Molecule: non-coding RNA, 94 nt
Organism: Mycena galericulata
Lineage: Eukaryota; Fungi; Basidiomycota; Agaricomycetes; Agaricales; Mycenaceae
Source: the annotation of a GenBank genome assembly
UCAGACAUGGUGUUGUGGUGACACAGCCUCUUCAAAUACGACUGUAUACUGAGUGGUAUUGGGGCAUUCCGGGGUUCGAUUCCCUGUGUCUGAA